GACGAACGCUGGCGGCGUGCUUAACACAUGCAAGUCGAACGGAAAGGCCCUGCUUUUGUGGGGUGCUCGAGUGGCGAACGGGUGAGUAACACGUGAGUAACCUGCCCUUGACUUUGGGAUAACUUCAGGAAACUGGGGCUAAUACCGGAUAGGAGCUCCUGCUGCAUGGUGGGGGUUGGAAAGUUUCGGCGGUUGGGGAUGGACUCGCGGCUUAUCAGCUUGUUGGUGGGGUAGUGGCUUACCAAGGCUUUGACGGGUAGCCGGCCUGAGAGGGUGACCGGCCACAUUGGGACUGAGAUACGGCCCAGACUCCUACGGGAGGCAGCAGUGGGGAAUAUUGCACAAUGGGCGGAAGCCUGAUGCAGCAACGCCGCGUGCGGGAGGACGGCCUUCGGGUGGGAAACCGCUUUCGCCUGUGACGAAGCGUGUGUGACGGUAAUGGGUAAAGAAGCACCGGCUAACUACGU
This 467-nucleotide ribosomal RNA is filed under the name uncultured bacterium. RNAcentral describes it as "partial 16S ribosomal RNA". It matches the Rfam family "Bacterial small subunit ribosomal RNA", at positions 28 to 506 of the family's 1533-position model. The record is from RNAcentral.